CUACGGGUGGCUGCAGUCGAGAAGCUUCGGCAAUGGGCGAAAGUCUGACCGAGCGACGCCGCGUGGAUGAUGAAGGCUCUUUGAGUCGUAAAAUCCUGUCAUGGGGGAAGAAACAUCUGGGGGUUAAUACCCCUCAGACUUGACGGUACCUCAAGAGGAAGCUCCGUCUAACUCCGUGCCAGCAGCCGCGGUAAUACGGGGGGAGCAAGCGUUGUUCGGAAUUACUGGGCGUAAAGGGCGUGUAGGCGGUUUUGUAAGUCAGAGGUGAAAACCAUCGGCUCAACCGAUGGCCUGCCUUUGAAACUGCAGAACUUGAGUACGGAAGAGGAGAGCGGAAUUCCUGGUGUAGCGGUGAAAUGCGUAGAUAUCAGGAAGAACAUCAGUGGCGAAGGCGGCUCUCUGGUCCAGUACUGACGCUGAGGCGCGAAAGCCAGGGGAGCGAACGGGAUUAGAUACCCGUGUAGUC
Molecule: ribosomal RNA, 466 nt
Filed under: uncultured bacterium
Lineage: Bacteria
Description: partial 16S ribosomal RNA
Rfam family: Bacterial small subunit ribosomal RNA
Source: RNAcentral